RNAcentral lists this ribosomal RNA (441 nucleotides) under uncultured bacterium. RNAcentral describes it as "partial 16S ribosomal RNA". It matches the Rfam family "Bacterial small subunit ribosomal RNA", at positions 338 to 795 of the family's 1533-position model. The record is from RNAcentral.
CCUACGGGAGGCAGCAGUGGGGAAUAUUGGGCAAUGGAGGAAACUCUGACCGAGCAACGCCGCGUGAGGGAUGAAGGUUUUCGGAUUGUAAACUUCUGUCGCGAGGGACGAAGGAUGACGGUACCACGUAAGAAAGACCCGGCUAACUACGUGCCAGCAGCCGCGGUAAUACGUAGGGGGCGAGCGUUGUCCGGAAUGACUGGGCGUAAAGGGAGUGGAGGCGGCAAUAGAAGUCAGAUGUGAAAUCCCGCGGCUCAACCGCGGAACUGCAUCCAAAACUAUAGAGCUGGAGUGCAGGAGAGGUGAGUGGAACUCCUAGUGUAGCGGUGGAAUGCGUAGAUAUUAGGAGGAACACCAGAGGCGAAGGCGACUCACUGGACUGUAACUGACGCUGAGGCUCGAAAGCGUGGGUAGCAAACAGGAUUAGAUACCCUUGUAGUC